This 492-nucleotide ribosomal RNA is filed under the name uncultured bacterium. RNAcentral's name for it is "partial 16S ribosomal RNA". It matches the Rfam family "Bacterial small subunit ribosomal RNA", at positions 29 to 507 of the family's 1533-position model. The record is from RNAcentral.
AGUGAACGCUGGCGGUAGGCCUAACACAUGCAAGUCGAACGGCAGCACAGUAAGAGCUUGCUCUUACGUGUGGCGAGUGGCGGACGGGUGAGUAAGACAUCGGAAUCUACUUUUUCGUGGGGGAUAAUGUAGGGAAACGUACGCGGAUACCGCAUACGACGUACGGGUGUAAGCAGGGGAUCUUCUGACCUUGCGCGAUUGAAUGAGCCGAGGUCGGAUUAGCUAGUUGGCGGGGUAAAGGCCCAGCUAGGCGACGAUCCGUAGCUGGUCUGAGAGGAAGAACAGACACACUGUCACUGAGAAACGGUCCCGACUCCGACAGGAGGACACAGCGGGGAAUAUUGGGCGAUGGGGGCGAGCCGGAUCCAGCACUACCGCGUAAGUGCAGAAGGACUUCGGCUUGGAAAGCCAUUAUGUCGGGAAAGAAAAAAAGCAGGUUAACACCCCGCUGUAAUGACGGUACCCAAAGAAUAAGCACCGGCUAACUCCGUG